RNAcentral lists this long non-coding RNA (447 nucleotides) under Pan paniscus (pygmy chimpanzee). RNAcentral's name for it is "lncRNA (ENSPPAG00000045296.1)". The record is from RNAcentral. Lineage: Eukaryota; Metazoa; Chordata; Mammalia; Primates; Hominidae.
UUAAAAAACAUUUUAUCCUUUUCUUUUUUUCUAGAACUGAAAGGGGCACAUGGCAGAUAUAAUCAUAAACUUUCAUUUCGCAGAGCAGUAAAAAAGGAGAAGAAGAACACACUGGUACUCCAACAAGUCAUAGUUUCUGCCAGAUGUUGCAAAAAUCAAAUGUCCACAGAAACCCAAUCAGCAACACUACUUUCAAAGUGUCUUUUGACAAGUAAUAUGUGCAUUUUACAAAUCCAAAGGCAAUAUUUGAAGUAGCUCUUCAAAACAGCUGCAUUACUCAAAGCUAUCUCUGUAUCAUCACCUUGUUUCCUGGAAGAAAAUGUGGAAAUGUGUACUGAAAAUGUGUAAAUGAUUAAAGCAUCAGUAUAAAGAAAAAACAUUCUGAAGAUGAAUAAAAAUUAUUUUGAGGGCUUGUUGAAAAACCAAACACCAGAUGUCCACGGCUGA